UGAAAUUGAACGCGCUGUGAAGAUGCAGUGUACCCGCGGCAAGACGGAAAGACCCCGUGAACCUUUACUAUAGCUUGACACUGAACAUUGAGCCUUGAUGUGUAGGAUAGGUGGGAGGCUUUGAAGCGUGGACGCCAGUCUGCGUGGAGCCAACCUUGAAAUACCACCCUUUAAUGUUUGAUGUUCUAACGUUGGCCCCUUACCGGGGUUGCGGACAGUGUCUGGUGGGUAGUUUGACUGGGGCGGUCUCCUCCCAAAGCGUAACGGAGGAGCACGAAGGUUAGCUAAUCCUGGUCGGACAUCAGGAGGUUAGUGCAAUGGCAUAAGCUAGCUUGACUGCGAGCGUGACGGCGCGAGCAGGUGCGAAAGCAGGUCAUAGUGAUCCGGUGGUUCUGAAUGGAAGGGCCAUCGCUCAACGGAUAAAAGGUACUCCGGGGAUAACAGGCUGAUACCGCCCAAGAGUUCAUAUCGACGGCGGUGUUUGGCACCUCGAUGUCGGCUCAUCACAUCCUGGGGCUGAAGUAGGUCCCAAGGGUAUGGCUGUUCGCCAUUUAAAGUGGUACGCGAGCUGGGUUUAGAACGUCGUGAGACAGUUCGGUCCCUAUCUGCCGUGGGCGCUGGAGAAUUGAGGGGGGCUGCUCCUAGUACGAGAGGACCGGAGUGGACGCAUCACUGG
This 676-nucleotide ribosomal RNA is filed under the name Pseudomonas aeruginosa. Its description in RNAcentral is "partial 23S ribosomal RNA". It matches the Rfam family "Bacterial large subunit ribosomal RNA", at positions 2037 to 2712 of the family's 2925-position model. The record is from RNAcentral. Lineage: Bacteria; Pseudomonadati; Pseudomonadota; Gammaproteobacteria; Pseudomonadales; Pseudomonadaceae.